This 828-nucleotide ribosomal RNA is filed under the name Rhodococcus sp. AST1-6. RNAcentral describes it as "bacterial SSU rRNA". It matches the Rfam family "Bacterial small subunit ribosomal RNA", at positions 62 to 901 of the family's 1533-position model. The record is from RNAcentral. Lineage: Bacteria; Bacillati; Actinomycetota; Actinomycetes; Mycobacteriales; Nocardiaceae.
UCGAGCGGUAAGGCCUUUCGGGGUACACGAGCGGCGAACGGGUGAGUAACACGUGGGUGAUCUGCCCUGCACUUCGGGAUAAGCCUGGGAAACUGGGUCUAAUACCGGAUAUGACCUCCUAUCGCAUGGUGGGUGGUGGAAAGAUUUAUCGGUGCAGGAUGGGCCCGCGGCCUAUCAGCUUGUUGGUGGGGUAAUGGCCUACCAAGGCGACGACGGGUAGCCGACCUGAGAGGGUGACCGGCCACACUGGGACUGAGACACGGCCCAGACUCCUACGGGAGGCGGCAGUGGGGAAUAUUGCCGAGUGGGCGAAAGCCUGAUGCAGCGACGCCGCGUGAGGGAUGACGGCCUUCGGGUUGUGAGCCUCUUUCGAGCAGGGACGAAGCGCAAGUGACGGUACCUGCAGAAGAAGCACCGGCUAACUACGUGCCAGCAGCCGCGGUAAUACGUACCGGGUGCAAGCGUUGUCCGGAAUUACUGGGCGUAAAGAGCUCGUAGGCGGUUUGUCGCGUCGUUUGUGAAAACCAGCACCUCAACUGCUGGCUUGCAGGCGAUACGGGCAGACUUGAGUACUGCAGGGGAGACUGGAAUUCCUGGUGUAGCGGUGAAAUGCGCAGAUAUCAAGAGGAACACCGGUGGCGAAGGCGGGUCUCUGGGCAGCAACUGACGCUGAGGGAACGAAAGCCUGGGUAGCGAACAGGAUUAGAUACCCUGCUAGUCCACGCCGUAAACGGUGGGCGCUAGGUGUGGGUUCCUUCCACGGAAUCCGUGCCGUAACUAACGCAUUAAGCGCCCCGCCUGGAGCGAUACGGCCGCGAGGGUAAACUC